RNAcentral lists this ribosomal RNA (497 nucleotides) under uncultured bacterium. RNAcentral describes it as "partial 16S ribosomal RNA". It matches the Rfam family "Bacterial small subunit ribosomal RNA", at positions 28 to 507 of the family's 1533-position model. The record is from RNAcentral.
GAUGAACGCUGGCGGCGUGCCUAAUACAUGCAAGUCGAGCGAACGGACGAGAAGCUUGCUUCUCUGAUGUUAGCGGCGGACGGGUGAGUAACACGUGGAUAACCUACCUAUAAGACUGGGAUAACUUCGGGAAACCGUAGCUAAUACCGGAUAAUAUUUUGAACCGCAUGGUUCAAAAGUGAAAGACGGUCUUGCUGUCACUUAUAGAUGGAUCCGCGCUGCAUUAGCUAGUUGGUAAGGUAACGGCUUACCAAGGCAACGAUGCAUAGCCGACCUGAGAGGGUGAUCGGCCACACUGGAACUGAGACACGGACCAGAGAACUACGGGAGGAAGCAGUAGGGAAUCUUCCGCAAUGGGCGAAAGCCUGACGGAGCAACGCAGCGUGAGUGAUGAAGGUCUUCGGAUCGUAAAACUCUGUUAUUAGGGAAGAACAUAUGUGUAAGAAACUGUGCACAGAUUGACGGUAACUAAUCAGAAAGCAACGGCUAACUACGUG